Molecule: long non-coding RNA, 1581 nt
Organism: Gigantopelta aegis
Lineage: Eukaryota; Metazoa; Mollusca; Gastropoda; Neomphalida; Peltospiridae
Exons: 3
Source: RefSeq, a predicted model, not a curated record
UGUGUGGUCCUUAACCAUAUCUCUGACGCCAUAUAACCGUAAAUAAAAUGUGUUGAGUGCGUCGUUAAAUAAAACAUUUCUUUCUUUCUUUUUUUUCAUGUUGGUAUCCACUUAAGUUCAAAGACGUUGUUCUUGGGACAAAACAAUUAUCUGGGUUGUCUGUCCAGAUCAGGGGUUAAUAGUUAGUUGUUAAUGAUAAUGAAGUUGGUGUAGUGGUCUUAUGCCUCGUUCGUAAGCUAUUAAAACUCGGCUCUCGGUAGGAGUCAGUACUGGGAUACGAACCAAGCGCCUGCCAGUCUUAAAGUCGCAGACACUAGUUUGAAAGCGUGAAAAUUGAUACUAAAUAUGCAAACCUGUAACACAUCUGGAUAAAGUUUCAAUAGAGUGAAACAAGAGUUUGUGACGUUGCAUUGAGGAAAUUCCCUCUGAAAAUAGACUAGGCCUAGUCUCCAUAACCGUUGCUUCCCAGAGGUAGGUGAGUUUUUAGAAUGAUGAAAAAUGCAUUUCGUGACAUUAUAAACACCAGGAUGACUAUAAACAUGUACGGAAAUGGAUAGCCUAAAUAAUAACAUAUAAGUAAUGUCUGACUGCAAUGAUCAAAAACGGUUUUUGACAUUGAAAAAUGCGCCGUAGUGUUUAAAAACUUGGUUCCGUCACUUGGUGAUGGUUAACUGAAUCAAUUUGCCGAGGUCUCUUAACUUAUAUGUCCUGAUGAUGAUACUUCUCUGAAACGUAAGGAUCAAGAAGCUUAUGUAAACCAAAGCCCACUGAUAAAGCUAAAUGAUUUUGAAAAGCGCUAUAGAAAGGACACGAACGAAAUGACGACUGGAAGAGCCUGGGUGAAAGACAACUGUUCCAAACAGUGCCUGAAGACAACUCUGUUUAAAACCUUUCCAUUCCUGACGAUCAUGCGAGGAUACUCGCUGUUACGAGAUCUACCCAAUGACGUCAUCGCUGGUGUCACAGUCGGAAUUAUGCAAAUACCACAAGGUACUACAGCUGUUGUGAGUCUCAUGCUGGGAUCUCUUCUGGAUUCUGCAUUUCCAUCUGAUGGUCUCGGGGGUACACUAGAUAAUACUGGGUUUUCAGAGACAUGCGGAAAAUAGAACUUGUGACUGCACUCACUCUAGUGUCAGGGUUAAUAAUGAUUCACUCCUUUAGAGACAAGUUUUGUGAGCUCGGCAACAGAAUCGUUGUCUAUAGCACUGAAAAGCUGUUUCUGACUCAUUGUGUACCAUGCGUCUUCCAGGAAUCAUUGGCACCAGGGUAACACAUUUACACAAUAGGAACCAUUAAAAAAAAAAUUAAUGUAUUAUUAUAGUCAGGUACAUGGCGUGGGUUUUAUUGAAAUCGUAUAUCUGCACAAGACGGGUUCAAAGGGAAGUUUUCGGCAAAGUCGUGAUUGCUUUAAUGAUCCACUAUUAAGUUAUCGUUAUUUUGAGGACCGCCACUCACCUUGGAGAUCUAUAAUAGGAUGUUUCAUACCUCCUGUAGGAGGACUGCCACUCCCAAAAUCUAGCUUAGAAAACCCAAACUUGCAAAAGCAAAAAAACAGUGAUGAUAUCAGAUAUAAAUAGUCCA